GAUGAAGAACGUAGCGAAAUGCGAUAAGUAAUGCGAAUUGCAGAAUUCAGUGAGUCAUCGAAUCUUUGAACGCACAUUGCGCCCUGUGGUAUUCCGCAGGGCAUGCCUGUUCGAGCGUCAUUUCAACCCUCAAGCUCUGCUUGGUGUUGGGCCCUGCCCGCUGCGGCCGGCCCUAAAGACAGUGGCGGUGCCGCCUGGCCCUGAGCGUAGUACAUCUCUCGCUCCAGUGCCCGGUGGUAGCCGCCAGAACCCCAACUCUCGUGGUUGACCUCGGAUCAGGUAGGGAUACCCGCUGAACUUAAGCAUAUCAAUAAGCGGAGGA
RNAcentral lists this unclassified non-coding RNA (322 nucleotides) under soil metagenome. RNAcentral's name for it is "partial contains 5.8S ribosomal RNA, internal transcribed spacer 2, and large subunit ribosomal RNA". The stretch from base 1 to 120 matches the Rfam family "5.8S ribosomal RNA", at positions 35 to 154 of the family's 154-position model. The record is from RNAcentral.